GUACAGGUGAAAAAGAUGACGGCGAUCUCCCUCUCCCCUCCCCUCCCUGCCUUGUCUCGUUUUGUUUGUUUUCGUUGUCCAUCUGCGCAGCGUCGCCAGCGACCACCUUUUCGAUCGGCGUGGCACAAUGCUCGCCUGGCGGCGGUACGUAUCAGUCACUCACUCUCUCUUGUCGCGUUGCCUUUCUUUCCCUGCCUUCCUCUCCUUCUAGCUUCCGACGUAUUUUGGUCACUUCUCUGUUGGUGUUGCGUGUGCGUUGGGUGCGAUGUCUCCACCGUGCCGGCCCGUCUUCGUUGGAUGGCUCUUGCGUAACUCUAUUUGCUGUGUAUCGGGCACGGCACCGUCGGCAUCACUGACCGUGCUAGUGACCGCUGAAUCUCAGAACU
This 386-nucleotide unclassified non-coding RNA is filed under the name Leishmania donovani. RNAcentral's name for it is "gene:unknown". The record is from RNAcentral. Lineage: Eukaryota; Euglenozoa; Kinetoplastea; Trypanosomatida; Trypanosomatidae.